CUAGAUAUCUAGCCUUCGUGGUGUUCUCCGUUCUCUGAUCAUGUCUGUGAAUGUGUGUGUUGUUCGUGUAGUUUUAAUUUAAUUUCAAACCGUGUGGCAGCGCGCAAGUAGAUUUUUAGUUUAAAAAUAACUUUCGUAAGCUACAAGCUCGUAUUUAUUAUACAGGAUAUCAGCGAUAUUAAAAUAUGAAUAAAUAUAUGACAUACUUCUAAUCCAUUGAUGAGCCAUGUCAAAUGAGGAACUGGAUUCGCAGGAGCUGAGGUACAAUUUGCCUCGAGGACUUCUCCUACUGUGUAAACAGCCUUCUUGAAAGUUAUGUGCGGAUUAUCCGACUGAGGUACUGGAAGACACAAAGACAAAUGAUAUAAUUUAUAUCAUUGUCUGUCUCUCGACAUUUCAACAGCCCUCUAAGUACUCGAGUAAAACUAUUUUUAACAGUAUCAUUAUCUAAAGAGCACUCAAUAAAAUAAUAAUUUACCGCAAGUCUUUUUUAUCUCGCAUUACAGCAGAUAUUUAUUUUUCUCAAAAUUAAUAGAAAAAAUUAUAUUUAAAGCUUUUUAGUAAAAUUUAGGGGGUACCUCCUAUCCUAUAUAAAUUAAGUCAUAAAGGCUCCAAUCUUUACCGAUAAUAAAACUAAUUUUAAAUAACGUUACUUGGCGGUUAGUAGUGUCAGCAGUAGAUAAUGGGCGGAGGUAAUAAAAAAAUAUGAAUGAAUUAUUUAUAAUUACCUAUAACUUGUAGCUUUACUUCGUCCGAGCUUUCAGUAUAAAUUGGAUAAGUAGAGCUUACCAAGCAGGAAUAUGAGCCAGAGGCAUCAAAGUGUACAUCCUUUAAUUUGAUUGUCUUGCCAUCGAGCGUAUGCUUUAAAAAUUAAGUUUUAGUAAAUAAUUACCAAUUAAACCGGUGAAAAAUAAAUGAUUAAUUUUUUUCGGCAAUAAAUAAUUAAGUAAAAAUUACCUCAAAUUCUAAACCGGGAGGCGGCGAUUCUCUAAAUGGAUGAUCUUUACGAUCUCUUAUAUAUUCCAAUAUUUUUUUAUUAUCUUUUAAAAAUUCAACCUUAUGAAGGUCAUCUGGUGUGACAGUAUGAUUACAUGUCAAUGUCGCUGUACUGUUGUACUUGACGUAAUUCGGGGCAAUAAGCCGUACUUCUGGUGUUGCAUCUAUUAAUAUAUAUGUUGAUAAAACACAUCAUAAUCAAAUUUUUAAUUUAAUUAAAUUAACGGAAAAUCUUUUAAAAUAUUAAAAAUUAUACACGGAUUUGACAUUUUAAUUAUUAAUUCUCUUUGUAUUAUUAUUAUUAUUAUUAUUAUUAUGAUAUUUAUGUUUCGUACUUAUGAUUCAAUUUAUUUAAGUAUGUUUAAUAUUUGAAAUAAAAGUUUGUAUUAUUUUAUUGUGUAUAAGGUAUAAACUACUGCUGCAUAAAAAGUACAAAGAAAAAAUAAAAGUUUAAAAAAUGAAAAGAGAAAACAAAUGGAGAAUAAAUGUUGACUAAAUAAAAAUAUAAACUCAGAAGCGUAUAAGCAAAGGGGUAGUUAUAGUUACUGUAGCUUUAGGUGAGUAAAAAAAAACUAGAGUAUAAAUUAAAAAUGAAAAAUUGUGUUUGUUUAACGGCAUGAGAUUGAGAUAUUUUUAAAAUUACUUAAUAUAAACGAUAAUUAUAAAAAGCCUUGUUGCUGGGAGCCAGUUUGAUAUCGAUUAGAAAAUGCGUAUCACGUUAUUAUACUCAUAAUUAUUAAAACAUAAUUACUUAAAGCUUGUAUCAAUCUUUAUAUUUAUUCCUACGUGUGAUAGUUUUAUUUAAAAAAACGAACGAACGAACGAACGAA
Microplitis mediator is the source of this 1826-nucleotide long non-coding RNA. RefSeq lists it as uncharacterized. The record is from RefSeq and is a predicted model, not a curated record. NCBI's taxonomy places the organism in Eukaryota, Metazoa, Arthropoda, Insecta, Hymenoptera, Braconidae. The transcript has 2 exons.